Molecule: unclassified non-coding RNA, 691 nt
Filed under: Hevea brasiliensis (rubber tree)
Lineage: Eukaryota; Viridiplantae; Streptophyta; Magnoliopsida; Malpighiales; Euphorbiaceae
Source: RNAcentral
UGGUUAGGGUAGGCUUACAUAUGCCAUUCCCAACCCACAUUUUAUAACAAUUCAUGUUCCAAAUAACAUUCUUUGGCAUGUUCUAUUAAGCAGCCAUUAUUGGUUUAGAGCACAGCAUUGCAUCUUGGUCAUGAAUGUAGUUAAUAUAUAUAUAGACAUAAUAUCAAGUAAUUUAGCAUUUUGUGUAUCACAUAGAAUGAUAGAGAACAGACCUUAUGAAUCUAACUCAGUUCAUUGGAUAACAGUAAUGGUGCUACUUAAGGUAGUCUUGCUCAAAUGAUUACGUGUGAAUAUCAGUUGCUUUAUUUAAUGAGGUAUCAUGAAGAUGUCAAUGAGUUUGUGAAUUACAGCGUUUAACAAUCAAUCAAUUGCUUUAGUUUACAUUGUUUAGAAGAAUGGGAAUGGUAAUAAUGUUCAUUGUUAGAUUGCAUUGAUGAAUUUGUUGGAUCACUGUAAUUGUAAAAUUAUCAAUUCAACCUUUGGUUCCCUCCACAUACAUUGUCGUAUGAUAACUUUAUCGAUGAUCAUUCAUUUUAAGUUUGGCAUUCUGCAUUGAAACUUGACUGAGAUGCUCUGUCGUCUGUACAGAAAGUCUGAAAUUUGAUGACCAGAGAGUGUUUUAUUGAGAAGUUAAUUUCAAGAAUAAAGAUAAAUGACUAAAUAGUACCAGGGAGAGAGAGAGAGAGAGAGA